Molecule: long non-coding RNA, 227 nt
Filed under: Hordeum vulgare
Lineage: Eukaryota; Viridiplantae; Streptophyta; Magnoliopsida; Poales; Poaceae
Description: long non-coding RNA (HVUL_LNC011216)
Source: RNAcentral
UUCCCCUCUGUUCAGUGGAUCUCAAGAGUAAACAUAGCUACAUAGAAAUGUUCUUACCAGGAUUUGGGGCUAUAAAUGAAACUGCUCAAGGUGUUGUGCUCACUGGCACGGUGCAGCUAACAUCUUUUGCAGAUUCCUGUUACAAGCAUGCAUGAAACAGGAAACAUUGGCUUUGCAGUUGAACUCUUCCAGUGUAGUCUAGGGUCCGCCCCUUCCAAAUGCAUAGC